CCUUCCCGUUAAGGGAACCUGCGGAAGGAUCAUUACUGAAAUGUAAUAACUUCUAUUGAAAGGUUCCAGAGUAGGCGCUACAACGCCGAAAUGACCUUCUCACCCUUGUGUACUCACUAUGUUGCUUUGGCGGGUCGACCUGGUUCCGACCCAGGCGGCCGGCGCCCCCAGCCUUAACUGGCCAGGACGCCCGGCUAAGUGCCCGCCAGUAUACAAAACUCAAGAAUUCAUUUUGUGAAGUCCUGAUAUAUCAUUUAAUUGAUUAAAACUUUCAACAACGGAUCUCUUGGUUCUGGCAUCGAUGAAGAACGCAGCGAAAUGCGAUAAGUAAUGUGAAUUGCAGAAUUCAGUGAAUCAUCGAAUCUUUGAACGCACAUUGCGCCCUCUGGUAUUCCGGAGGGCAUGCCUGUUCGAGCGUCAUUUCAACCCUCAAGCUCUGCUUGGUAUUGGGCAACGUCCGCUGCCGGACGUGCCUUGAAGACCUCGGCGACGGCGUCCUAGCCUCGAGCGUAGUAGUAAAAUAUCUCGCUUUGGAGUGCUGGGCGACGGCCGCCGGACAAUCGACCUUCGGUCUAUUUUUCCAAGGUUGACCUCGGAUCAGGUAGGGAUACCCGCUGAACUUAAGCAUAU
This 630-nucleotide ribosomal RNA is filed under the name Guignardia sp. 112AC/S. Its description in RNAcentral is "eukaryotic LSU rRNA". The stretch from base 267 to 420 matches the Rfam family "5.8S ribosomal RNA". Lineage: Eukaryota; Fungi; Ascomycota; Dothideomycetes; Botryosphaeriales; Phyllostictaceae. The record is from RNAcentral.